Molecule: ribosomal RNA, 88 nt
Filed under: Psychrobacter coccoides
Lineage: Bacteria; Pseudomonadati; Pseudomonadota; Gammaproteobacteria; Moraxellales; Moraxellaceae
Source: RNAcentral
GCUGACGACAAUAGCACGAUGGCACCACCUGAUCCCUUCCCGAACUCAGAAGUGAAACAUCGUAGCGCCGAUGGUAGUGUGGCUCCGG